RNAcentral lists this ribosomal RNA (427 nucleotides) under uncultured bacterium. RNAcentral's name for it is "bacterial SSU rRNA". It matches the Rfam family "Bacterial small subunit ribosomal RNA", at positions 28 to 496 of the family's 1533-position model. The record is from RNAcentral.
GAUGAACGCUAGCGGCAUGCCUUACACAUGCAAGUCGAACGAAAACUUCGGUUUUAGUGGCAAACGGGUGAGUAAUGCGUGAGAAUCUACCUUUAAGAGGGGGAUAACUUUUGGAAACAAUUGCUAAAACCCCAUAGGCCUUCGGGUGAAAAAGUUCUAACUGCUUAAAGAGGAGCUCACGUCUGAUUAGCUAGUUGGUGAGGUAAUGGCUCACCAAGGCGACGAUCAGUAACUGGUCUGAGAGGACGAUCAGUCGCACUGGAACUGAGACACGGUCCAGACUCCUACGGGAGGCUAGCAGUGGGGAAUUUUCUACAAUGGGCGGAAGCCUGAUAGAGCAAUGCCGCGUGAGGGACGAAAGCCUACGGGUUGUAAACCUCUUUUUUCGAGGAAGAAGAUAUGACAUGAAUCGAAGAAUAAGUAUCGG